Molecule: ribosomal RNA, 465 nt
Filed under: uncultured bacterium
Lineage: Bacteria
Description: partial 16S ribosomal RNA
Rfam family: Bacterial small subunit ribosomal RNA
Source: RNAcentral
GACGAACGCUGGCGGCGUGCUUAACACAUGCAAGUCGUACGGUAAGGCCCUUUCGGGGGUACACGAGUGGCGAACGGGUGAGUAACACGUGAGUAACCUGCCCACAACUUUGGGAUAACGCUAGGAAACUGGUGCUAAUACUGGAUAUGUGCUCCUGCUGCAUGGUGGGGGUUGGAAAGCUCCGGCGGUUGUGGAUGGACUCGCGGCCUAUCAGCUUGUUGGUGGGGUAGUGGCCUACCAAGGCGGCGACGGGUAGCCGGCCUGAGAGGGUGACCGGCCACAUUGGGACUGGGAUACGGCCCAGACUCCUACGGGAGGCAGCAGGGGGGAAUAUUGCACAAUGGGCGCAAGCCUGAUGCAGCAACGCCGCGUGCGGGAUGACGGCCUUCGGGUUGUAAACCGCUUUCAGCAGGGACGAAGCUUUUUGUGACGGUACCUGCAGAAGAAGCACCGGCUAACUACGUG